UGGAUCCAGACUUUGAUUCUGGCUCAGGAUGAACGCUAGCUACAGGCUUAACACAUGCAAGUCGAGGGGAAACGAUAGAGAAAGCUUGCUUUUUCUAGGUGUCGACCGGCGCACGGGUGAGUAACGCGUAUCCAACCUGCCCAUCACUUGGGGAUAACCUUGCGAAAGUAAGACUAAUACCCAAUGAUAUCUCUAGAAGACAUCUGAAAGAGAUUAAAGAUUCAUCGGUGAUGGAUGGGGAUGCGUCUGAUUAGCUUGUUGGCGGGGUAACGGCCCACCAAGGCGACGAUCAGUAGGGGUUCUGAGAGGAAGGUCCCCCACAUUGGAACUGAGACACGGUCCAAACUCCUACGGGAGGCAGCAGUGAGGAAUAUUGGUCAAUGGACGAGAGUCUGAACCAGCCAAGUAGCGUGCAGGAUGACGGCCCUAUGGGUUGUAAACUGCUUUUAUAAGGGAAUAAAGUGAGCCUCGUGAGGCUUUUUGCAUGUACCUUAUGAAUAAGGACCGGCUAAUUCCGUGCCAGCAGCCGCGGUAAUACGGAAGGUCCGGGCGUUAUCCGGAUUUAUUGGGUUUAAAGGGAGCGUAGGCCGGAGAUUAAGCGUGUUGUGAAAUGUAGACGCUCAACGUCUGCACUGCAGCGCGAACUGGUUUCCUUGAGUACGCACAAAGUGGGCGGAAUUCGUGGUGUAGCGGUGAAAUGCUUAGAUAUCACGAAGAACUCCGAUUGCGAAGGCAGCUCACUGGAGCGCAACUGACGCUGAAGCUCGAAAGUGCGGGUAUCGAACAGGAUUAGAUACCCUGGUAGUCCGCACGGUAAACGAUGGAUGCCCGCUGUUGGUCUGAAUAGGUCAGCGGCCAAGCGAAAGCAUUAAGCAUCCCACCUGGGGAGUACGCCGGCAACGGUGCAAACUCAAAAGGAAAUUGAC
RNAcentral lists this ribosomal RNA (926 nucleotides) under uncultured Bacteroidota bacterium. RNAcentral describes it as "bacterial SSU rRNA". It matches the Rfam family "Bacterial small subunit ribosomal RNA", at positions 1 to 914 of the family's 1533-position model. The record is from RNAcentral. Lineage: Bacteria; Pseudomonadati; Bacteroidota.